UCUCUCUCCCAGUGCCUCCGGUAACUGGCUCCGGCCUCCGCCGUGAUCCUCUUCCUGGUUGCUGGUGGUCUGCGAGUCUUACUGAACUCACCAGCCGCAGCGAAGUCCAGACUAGGCCGGCGAUAGGCUGAGCAGCAGUGUAACCUUUUUCGGCCCCGGCAGCAGGUGCCGGUGUAGUGAAGAAUUGUGUGUCUUGAAACGUUCUCACACUGCUGCCCAGCCUAUCGCCGGUCAAAUCGGGACUUCGCUGCGGCCGGUGAUUGGCUGAGUGCAGUAUGACUCGCCGACCACCAGCAACCAGGAAGAGGAUCGUGGCGGAGACCGGAGCCGGUUACCGAAGGCACUGGGAGAGUGAAGGAAGAUGUAGAGGAUGCCUCCUUGUCAUGGUUACCGGCCUUGUUUAUGGAAAUUAUGACACACUUCCGGAUCACGGGGGUCACCAUUGGAAUACUUAGUGCCAUUUCUGCAAUCUCUGUGAAACGGUGCGGUAGACUUUAAGAGAAUAACUUGCUGACAGUAGCUACAAUACUUACUCUGAAUGUGAGGAUGAAGCAGCAUCAUCAAGAGAGACCAACGUAAAGUGUUAGAUGUCGUAUCCG
Long non-coding RNA from Hyla sarda, 599 nucleotides. RefSeq lists it as uncharacterized. Lineage: Eukaryota; Metazoa; Chordata; Amphibia; Anura; Hylidae. The transcript has 3 exons. The record is from RefSeq and is a predicted model, not a curated record.